UUGCUUCAUCUUCCAUCGUUUCGUCCUUACGACAUCAUCCGCUCUGAGAAAUUCGUCGCUUUCUUCAUCGGCUCCGCUUCUUCCUCGAGUUGUCAAAUUAGAAAAAAGACAAAAGCACCAGAAAAUGAACAUCCAAGCAACUCAUUGACAAACGAAACUGAACUUUUACCCUUGCUCCUUAAGGACUACACCAGCGAGGUCCCUCAUCCACUUGAAGGACGUCGGCAUUGGUUCACUAAUGAAAACAUUGUGUAUGAAAAUGGCGACUACUCUACUCCGCAGCCUAAAACCUCAAGAUAUGUUGGCAACCAUCAAAGUACAGCUGACAAAGAGGGCAAAGACUUUUUACCAUCCAAUACUCCUGAAAGUUCCGCCAACACAUUAGAAAGCCCUGCAAAAAGUCUCGAAGACGUUUUUAGCUCAGCGUGGACUGGCCUUGAUAGGUUGCUAAAUCUAUUGCAUUUUUAG
Molecule: unclassified non-coding RNA, 468 nt
Filed under: Zea mays
Lineage: Eukaryota; Viridiplantae; Streptophyta; Magnoliopsida; Poales; Poaceae
Description: misc RNA Zm00001eb432190
Source: RNAcentral